AGUUCAUAUCUGACCUCCCCAGCCAAAAGUAAUCUCUCUUCUCCAGACUUCUACGUCCAGUAUCUGGAACUUGCAUUUGAGACUUACUAUUCCUGACUGGCUUUAUUAUUUGCUUAGUCAUUGUGGUGGUGGUUCUUGCUUUUUGUGCAUUUUAUCUCCAGUCCCAAAGAUUUUAAGUUUAUUAGGCAUAAGGACCAUGUCGUAUAUCUCCUUGUAUUUUCCCUGACCAUUCAAGGGCCUAGCAUAACAUUUACUUGCAUUUGGAAGUGUGGAAAUAAAUGAAGACCAACCAAAUAAGAAUAAGCACAGGCUGUUUAUUCAGAGCUACUAUCGUUUGUGUUUUGGCAGAGACUCAAAUGCGGGCAGAGGAGUGGGAAAACUUCAUAGUAGAAAAAAGGGAGGCUCCAGACUCCAAGAUGAUGAUUAAGGUGGGCCCUAAUCCAAUCUGACUGGUGUCCUCGUAAGAAGAGAAGAUGAGGACACAGACAAACACAGAGGGAAGACUGUGUGAGGGCACAGGGAGAAAAUGACUCUCUACAACAAGGAGAGAGGCUUCAGAAUAAACCAAUUCUGCUGACACCUCUCAAACUUCUAGCCUCCAGAAGAGUGAGGAAAUCCAUUUCUG
This 625-nucleotide long non-coding RNA is filed under the name Homo sapiens (human). Its description in RNAcentral is "non-protein coding lnc-DTNBP1-5:25". The record is from RNAcentral. Lineage: Eukaryota; Metazoa; Chordata; Mammalia; Primates; Hominidae.